UGACACAGUGUAGAUGUUGUGGUGGUGGGGGAAGGAAAGUUCCAUCUGGAUGACACAGUGUAGAUGUUGUGGUGGUGGGGGAAGGAAAGUUCCAUCUGGAUUACAUAGUGUAGAUGUUGUGGUGGUGGGGGAAGGAAAGUUCCACCUGGAUGACACAGUGUAGAUGUUGUGGUGGUGGUGGAAGGAAAGUUCCAUCUGGAUGACACAGUGUAGAUGUUGUGGUGGUGGGGGAAGGAAAGUUCCAUCUGGAUGACACAGUGUAGAUGUUGUGGUGGUGGGGGAAGGAAAGUUCCAUCUGGAUGACACAGUGUAGAUGUUGUGGUGGUGGGGGAAGGAAAGGUCCAUCUGGAUGACACAGUGUAGAUGUUGUGGUGGUGGGGGAAGGAAAGUUCCAUCUGGAUGACACAGUGUAGAUGUUGUGGUGGUGGGGGAAGGAAAGUUCCAUCUGGAUGACACAGUGUAGAUGUUGUGGUGGUGGGAAGGAAAGUUCCAUCUGGAUGACACAGUGUAGAUGUUGUGGUGGUGGGGGAAGGAAAGGUCCAUCUGGAUUACACAGUGUAGAUGUUGUGGUGGUGGGAAGGAAAGUUCCAUCUGGAUGACACAG
This 604-nucleotide long non-coding RNA is filed under the name Salmo salar (Atlantic salmon). Its description in RNAcentral is "lncRNA (ENSSSAG00000120082.1)". The record is from RNAcentral. Lineage: Eukaryota; Metazoa; Chordata; Actinopteri; Salmoniformes; Salmonidae.